RNAcentral lists this long non-coding RNA (400 nucleotides) under Phoenix dactylifera (date palm). RNAcentral describes it as "long non-coding RNA (PDAC_LNC001995)". The record is from RNAcentral. Lineage: Eukaryota; Viridiplantae; Streptophyta; Magnoliopsida; Arecales; Arecaceae.
AUUGAUAAUACCCAGUUUAUCAAUUAAUCUAAUUUGUUGGAUUUUUUUUUUUACUGCAUUUAUAUAGCUCUUACACAGCUUUUUUUAGUCAACAUCACCAUACAUUCCUUUUUGCAAUAUCAGCCUUGAGCCACUCCUUCGCUCCCUGCCAAUAACCUAAUGUUCUGUGUGCACUACAUAGCCCCAGUCCUAGCCUCCUAGGAUAGUACCUUACCCCUCCCUUUCUCAUCCUUCCAUAAUUACCCCUCCCCUCGUCCGCAUGUUACCAUUCCAAUUCACACUCUUUCCCUUCUAUCCUGCACCAUUCGCUGUGUCCUCCAAGGGCAAUCCAGUCAAAGAAAAAAAAUCCACAGGGCAUUCAGCUUAGAUUUUCUUUGUAUCCAAGGAAGAUCUCCCCCCC